GUAACACGUAGUCAACAUGCCCAGGGGACGUGGAUAACCUCGGGAAACUGAGGAUAAACCGCGAUAGGUCACUACUUCUGGAAUGGGUAAUGACUCAAACCUAUAUGGCCCCUGGAUUGGACUGCGGCCGAUCAGGCUGUUGGUGAGGUAAUGGCCCACCAAACCUGUAACCGGUACGGGCUCUGAGAGGAGGAGCCCGGAGAUGGGCACUGAGACAAGGGCCCAGGCCCUAUGGGGCGCAGCAGGCGCGAAACCUCUGCAAUAGGCGAAAGCCUGACAGGGUUACUCUGAGUGAUCUCCGUUAAGGAGAUCUUUUGGCACCUCUAAAAAUGGUGCAGAAUAAGGGGUGGGCAAGUCUGGUGUCAGCCGCCGCGGUAAUACCAGCACCCCGAGUGGUCGGGACGUUUAUUGGGCUCCGAGCAUCCGUAGCCGGUUCUACAAGUCUUCCGUUAAAUCCAGCUGCUUAACAGAUGGGCUGCGGAAAAUACUAUGGAGCU
Molecule: ribosomal RNA, 497 nt
Filed under: uncultured archaeon
Lineage: Archaea
Description: bacterial SSU rRNA
Rfam family: Archaeal small subunit ribosomal RNA
Source: RNAcentral